AUUGAACGCUGGCGGCAGGCCUAACACAUGCAAGUCGAACGGUAACAGGAAGCAGCUUGCUGCUUCGCUGACGAGUGGCGGACGGGUGAGUAAUGUCUGGGAAGCUGCCUGAUGGAGGGGGAUAACUACUGGAAACGGUAGCUAAUACCGCAUAAUGUCGCAAGACCAAAGAGGGGGACCUUCGGGCCUCUUGCCAUCGGAUGUGCCCAGAUGGGAUUAGCUUGUUGGUGGGGUAACGGCUCACCAAGGCGACGAUCCCUAGCUGGUCUGAGAGGAUGACCAGCCACACUGGAACUGAGACACGGUCCAGACUCCUACAGGAGGCAGCAGUGGGGAAUAUUGCACAAUGGGCGCAAGCCGGAUGCAGCCAUGCCGCGUGUAUGAAGAAGGCCUUCGGGUUGUAAAGUACUUUCAGCGGGGAGGAAGGGAGUAAAGUUAAUACCUUUGCUCAUUGACGUUACCCGCAGAAGAAGCACCGGCUAACUCCGUG
RNAcentral lists this ribosomal RNA (490 nucleotides) under uncultured bacterium. Its description in RNAcentral is "partial 16S ribosomal RNA". It matches the Rfam family "Bacterial small subunit ribosomal RNA", at positions 30 to 507 of the family's 1533-position model. The record is from RNAcentral.